AGCGAACGCUGGCGGCGUACUUAACACAUGCAAGUCGAACGAGGAUCAUCGGGUUAGCAAUAAUUCGGUGGUCCUAGUGGCGCACGGGUGAGUAACACGUGGGUGACCUGCCCUUGAGCUCGGGAUACCCCCUCGAAAGGGGGGCUAAUACCGGAUACGUUCCUCGGUCGAAAGACUGAGGAGGAAAGGUGGCGCAAGCUGCCGCUCUUGGAGGGGCUCGCGGCCUAUCAGCUAGUUGGCGGGGUAACGGCCCACCAAGGCUAUGACGGGUAGCUGGUCUGAGAGGACGACCAGCCACACUGGAACUGAGACACGGUCCAGACUCCUACGGGAGGCAGCAGUGGGGAAUUUUGGACAAUGGGCGAAAGCCUGAUCCAGCCAUGCCGCGUGAGUGAAGAAGG
Molecule: ribosomal RNA, 401 nt
Filed under: uncultured bacterium
Lineage: Bacteria
Description: bacterial SSU rRNA
Rfam family: Bacterial small subunit ribosomal RNA
Source: RNAcentral